Selaginella moellendorffii is the source of this 1046-nucleotide long non-coding RNA. RefSeq lists it as uncharacterized. The record is from RefSeq and is a predicted model, not a curated record. The transcript has 4 exons. Lineage: Eukaryota; Viridiplantae; Streptophyta; Lycopodiopsida; Selaginellales; Selaginellaceae.
UCCCCAACUCAAUGGCAUUUGCAACCUGCACUUUGAGGUGCAGAGCUAACACAAGCAAUUCCCCCAGACUGAGUUGCAGGGAGUUUUGCAACAGCACCGCCACAAUUUGUUCUCCCAGUGGUGUUGUUUUUGGUGGUGGGUUACUCUCAGGCUCUGUCAAGUUAAUGAGAGGAGUCUGUUCACUUUAAGGGAUGAGGAAGGAUUUGACCCGGAAGAUGAAGAUAAGGCAAAGACAGCAAUCCUUUCCAAGCUAGUGGAUGUGAUCUUGAUGAGGGUAAGGAAUCUUUCUGCUCAACAGAUCUGGAUCUACCUCAUAAAUCACUACGGGCCUCCAAGUUUUGAAGAUCUGGUGGACAAGCUGCAGGAGCAUUGGGAUGACCUGGAAGGCUGCGCUGUGGGAUUCUCUGAAGCAUGCAAGAUUGAUGCUCUUUGUGAAUGUUUUGAUGACAGAGUUUUCACAGAAAUCGUCACGGCAGUGAGGGUAGCAGCCACAAUGUUCGAACAUGCUGAAACUCUUCUCCGCUCAGAGCUCACAUAGUCGAGAGUUGAGGCAAGGGUUGAAGAAGCUUCUGCAGAUGGCCAUGGUCGAAGGUGAGGGUGCGGCGAGGACGUGGACACAGAAUUCAAGGACGCCCAAGCAGUAGUCAAGGAAGCUUACAAAGUGAUGGAACUGACAAUCUUGGAGCUCGUCGUGCUUCAACAUGCUAUGGCUGUGGAUUGGAAGGGCAUCUCAAGAAAGAUUGUUGAGUUCUGCAGUGAGAUUACAGCAAAUUUUGCAGGUUCAGCUCAAAUAGAACAGCAGGAGACAGUCACAGACGAGGAUGUGAAAAACACCUGAUAGAGGAUGAGCAAGCGUUCUCCAAGCUCAAGCGCUCACUAGCAGGUCGAGUUCGAGUUUGAAAUGGUGGAGUUGUUGAAGUCUCUGGAAAUGGUGAUGCAGUGGUGCAAGUUGGUUCGAAGAGCUUGCCUUUGAAUAAUGGGUGGUUUGUCCCACAACUUGUCAAGAACUUAGUUUCAAUAGUUAAGUUUACUUAUGCUGGGAUGAA